This is a long non-coding RNA of Cottoperca gobio, 347 nucleotides long. RefSeq lists it as uncharacterized. NCBI's taxonomy places the organism in Eukaryota, Metazoa, Chordata, Actinopteri, Perciformes, Bovichtidae. The transcript is spliced from 3 exons. The record is from RefSeq and is a predicted model, not a curated record.
GCUGCAUGAGAUCAAGACGGAGUAUAAAAAAAAAGAGGGGACAGAAGUUUCCGCAGAGGUCUUUUCUCUUGGACAGAGUUCACACCAGCUUACGCCGAAUUUACACAGCGACAUCACCAACACUGCCGGAACCGCCAUAGAUUCAGAAGCAGCUGUAGAAUCGGAGUAUCCACCAUCCCGCUGAGAAAUCCAGAGCAUCGAAACGCCAAGAGAAACACAAGAUGGCUGCUCGUGAAUUUGAAUACCCUGAAGGAUGUGAGGAGUAUAGAAAGAAAAAGCUCCGAAAGGAACAGCUGCAUGGGAAUCAAGAAACGCUCUUUAUUGAUAGACGCAAUGGUGAAAAAAAU